AUCGCAUUGAAACAUCAGUUCCUGUAUGAUCACUGAAGUUAAGCAACAUCAGGCCUGGUAAAUACCUAGAUGGGUGACAACUUGGGAAUACCAGGUGCUAUA
Acanthosepion pharaonis is the source of this 102-nucleotide non-coding RNA. The record is from the annotation of a GenBank genome assembly. NCBI's taxonomy places the organism in Eukaryota, Metazoa, Mollusca, Cephalopoda, Sepiida, Sepiidae.